UCCUCGUUCAACAAAUCGCCAUUCGGAGCUCACACACGGAGACGCUGCGAGCUCGUCUUCGCAGCGUCUCUCCUCCAAGCUCUGGGAGAAAGUCCCCGGACGUCUCGUUUCAUCGAGAAUGCGGAAACGCGCCGCCAUAAAAGCACUGCGGCUGACCUCGGCCGCCCAGGCCCUCUCCCUGCACCGGCCCUGUUCCGCUGCUCGACCUUUACAAAGCAAACCGGCCUCACGUGGGUGCUCACGCCCCCGGUCCUCUUGGAUGACGAUAUGAGUCCGAGCCGGUGGGAUGUGGCAGUCGCUUCGAGCCGGUAUGCUGCGUGAGGGGAGGCGGGCAGACGUUUGGUGCUCGUGGGUGUGGCGUCGGGCGCCGAGGACUUGUUGUCGAGGUUGAUAGGUAUGCGAUUGCUCGGCGAAAGCUGGGUUACUCAAUGGGGCUCAUUCUUGACGCGAGG
Molecule: RNase MRP RNA, 452 nt
Filed under: Neonectria ditissima
Lineage: Eukaryota; Fungi; Ascomycota; Sordariomycetes; Hypocreales; Nectriaceae
Description: RNase MRP
Rfam family: RNase MRP
About the family: RNase MRP is an enzymatically active ribonucleoprotein with two distinct roles in eukaryotes. In mitochondria it plays a direct role in the initiation of mitochondrial DNA replication.
Source: Rfam by way of RNAcentral